Molecule: ribosomal RNA, 506 nt
Filed under: uncultured bacterium
Lineage: Bacteria
Description: partial 16S ribosomal RNA
Rfam family: Bacterial small subunit ribosomal RNA
Source: RNAcentral
AGUGAACGCUGGCGGUAGGCCUAACACAUGCAAGUCGAACGGCAGCACAGAGGAGCUUGCUCCUUGGGUGGCGAGUGGCGGACGGGUGAGGAAUACAUCGGAAUCUACUCUGUCGUGGGGGAUAACGUAGGGAAACUUACGCUAAUACCGCAUACGACCUACGGGUGAAAGCAGGGGACCUUCGGGCCUUGCGCGAUUGAAUGAGCCGAUGUCGGAUUAGCUAGUUGGCGGGGUAAAGGCCCACCAAGGCGACGAUCCGUAGCUGGUCUGAGAGGAUGAGCAGCCAGACGGGAACGGAGACACGGUCCAGACUCCGACGAGAGGCAGCAGUGGGGAAUAUUGGACAAUGGGCGCAAGCCUGAUCCAGCCAUACCGCGUGGGUGAAGAAGGCCUUCGGGUUGUAAAGCCCUUUUGUUGGGAAAGAAAUCCAGCUGGCUAAUACCCGGUUGGGAUGACGGUACCCAAAGAAUAAGCACCGGCUAACUUCGUGCCAGCCGCCGCCGUAA